AAUAAGAUAGAGAAAAGAGAAAAAAGAGAGAGAUUAGAGAGACUCUUUUGAGAGGUUUUUUAGUUUGUAAACUCUGUUGUAAAUUCUAUUCAAGUAGAAAUAGAAUUGUUUUUCCUCUUUUAUUCUCUUCUCGUGAUCGGAGAAUCUCAACAAGUGGUAUCAGAGAUUGGUUCAUCAAUUAACUCUCGUAGUUUUUUAUAAAACUUUUGCAAGCCAAGAUGUCAAUGGAGGAAUCUUCAUCAGGAGCUCUGAUCAAACUCACUGCCACCAAUUACACACUGUGGAGGCCUUGGAUGGAAGACCUCCUUAGUUGUAAGGAUUUGUAUGACCCCUUGGAAGCCAAAGGUGAAAACCCCGAUCCUACCAAGGAGGCGGAGUGGAAGAAGCUAAAUAGAAAAACUAUCGGUCAAAUUCGAGAAUGGAUUGAUCAUAGUGUUUUUCACCAUGUAGCACAGGAGACAGAUGCAUAUGCUCUCUGGAAGAUUCUAGAAGACAUGUACCAAGUCAAGACCGCUCGAAACAAAGCCCUGUUGAUGAGGCGUUUGGUGAAUCUGAAGUUAAAGAGUGGAACUUCAGUUGCUGAGCACACCAGUGAAUUUCAGAGCUUGGUAAACCAAUUGUCAUCUGUGGAGAUGCCGCUUCGGGAUGAAAUACAAGCCUUACUACUUUUAAGUUCUCUUCCUGAUAGUUGGGAGACAUUAGUAGUAUCUCUUAGCAACUCAGCCCCUGAUGGCAAACUUACCAUGUCUAUGGUUAAGGAUGCCCUAUUUAAUGAAGAGGCCAGGAGAAAAGACGUAGACACGGACCAAUCACAUGCCCUUGUCACAGUGAAUCGGGGAAGACAGCAAGGAGGCGUUCGAGGCAGGGGGAGAGGCAGAAGCAAAAGUAGGGGUAGAUCCAUAGAUGGAAGGAAGCCUACUUAUAAGUGCUAUUAUUGUGGUAUGGAGGGCCACUUGAAGAAGAAUUGCAGAAAAUUGCUACGAGAGCAAGGCCACAACAGUUCGCAAUCGAAAAAUAAGGAAGGAGAGACACUAGUCACUAUUUCUGGAGAGGUGGCUAUCUGCUCCAUCCAUGAAGAGACAUGUCUUCAUGUCUCAAACCAAGAUAUUGAAUGGGUAAUAGACACUGCAGCAUCUUAUCAUGCCAUUCCACGCAAAGAUUUCUUCACAACCUACAAGGCCGGCGACUUUGGUACAGUGAAGAUGGGAAAUACCAGUUCUUCUAAGAUCGUGAGAAUUGGUGAUGUUCAGAUACAAACGAACCUUGGGUGUAAAAUAACCUUGAAGGAUGUUCGACAUGUACCUGAUUUUCGGCUAAAUCUACUUUCAGGGAUAGCCCUUGACAAACAGGGCUAUGUCAAUCAAUUUAGCCGAGCUUUUUAAAGAUGAGCUUUUUACAAUUGAAAACAACUUAAUAAAAAUUCAACAUUUAGUUUUGAUGCUUGUUAGGACACUCUUAAUUUUAAAAAGACUGUUGACUAUGACUUCUUUUAGAAAAAUUAAAUUAAUAUUAUAUAGUAUUAAUGCCGU
RNAcentral lists this long non-coding RNA (1529 nucleotides) under Olea europaea subsp. europaea. The record is from RNAcentral. Lineage: Eukaryota; Viridiplantae; Streptophyta; Magnoliopsida; Lamiales; Oleaceae.